CGAACGGGUGAGUAACGCGUGAGGAACCUGCCUCAAAGAGGGGGACAACAGUUGGAAACGACUGCUAAUACCGCAUAAGCCCACGGCUCGGCAUCGAGCAGAGGGAAAAGGAGCAAUCCGCUUUGAGAUGGCCUCGCGUCCGAUUAGCUGGUUGGUGAGGUAACGGCCCACCAAGGCGACGAUCGGUAGCCGGACUGGGAGGUUGAACGGCCACAUUGGGACUGAGACACGGCCCAG
This 237-nucleotide ribosomal RNA is filed under the name uncultured bacterium. Its description in RNAcentral is "partial 16S ribosomal RNA". It matches the Rfam family "Bacterial small subunit ribosomal RNA", at positions 99 to 334 of the family's 1533-position model. The record is from RNAcentral.